RNAcentral lists this long non-coding RNA (945 nucleotides) under Danio rerio (zebrafish). RNAcentral describes it as "lncRNA si:ch73-112l6.6 (ENSDARG00000097526.3)". The record is from RNAcentral. Lineage: Eukaryota; Metazoa; Chordata; Actinopteri; Cypriniformes; Danionidae.
GAAAUGGACUAGUGAUGGAGCACCCGUGUCUGUUUGACGUUUCAUACAGAAAGUUAUAAAAGAAAGUAGAUGAGAUUGCUUAUUCCCUUUAAACCCAGCCUAAUGGAGAAAUCGCGAGCUAUGGAAAACGAUGCACAUUUGUCUGGCAAGCGAUGAAAUAACCACACACAAUGGAGGCAUGCGCAGAACAUUCCCCCCUCCUUGAUGACCAGAACAAAAGACGCCGAGAGCAGGAAACUCGUCUUACUGAAUGACCGAGGCUGGAGAAACGCUGAGAGACUUGAAGCCUAAAAGAUCACAAAACACAGCAAAGCACAACUCGUAACAGCCUUUGGAAACAUGAAGAACAUUCCCCCCAGCUUUACGUGGAGUUUAGCACUCUGUUUUGACUAGUGUAGUAACUAAAUCUCAUGUUAAAAGAUCAAACAGACCUGUAAAAACUUUUUAAAUGAACUGAGGAUGGUUACUGGUUCUACAGGUUAUGUAGAAUAAUAAUCAACAAUGUGUAAUAGGGCCCAUCAUUCACCAAUUAAAAGGUAAAAGCGAAACAAGGAGCUAAAGGGACCCAGAGACAAGCCAACGUCAGGGUGAGCCAAGACAUCCUGAUAAUGAAGCAUUCAAGAGUCUCUGUAUAUCAGGCUUCAAAAAAACAACAACAUUUCAAACCAAUGCUGUUCUUUGAAACUUCAUUCCUCAAAGAGAUCAGAAAAAAAGUUUGUUGUCUCAAAAAUGUUCAGCAUUGAUAAUAAAUGUUUUUUGAGCUAUAAAUAAACAUAUAAAGUUGAUUUCUGAAAGAUCCUCCAACACUAAAGACUGAAGUAAUAAUGCUGAAUUGUUUGCCAUCACAAAUCAGUAAAUUACAAUUUAAAAUCUACAAAACAUGUAUACAUUAUGUUGAUAUAAAAUGUCAAUGAAUGAUUGUGUUAAAAUAAAGUUAAUUAAAGU